This 66-nucleotide microRNA precursor is filed under the name Daphnia pulex (common water flea). RNAcentral describes it as "Dpu-Mir-33_pre stem-loop". It matches the Rfam family "mir-33 microRNA precursor family", at positions 6 to 65 of the family's 69-position model. Lineage: Eukaryota; Metazoa; Arthropoda; Branchiopoda; Diplostraca; Daphniidae. The record is from RNAcentral.
GUGCAUUGUAGUUGCAUUGCACGUUGUCAAUUCUUUGUUUCGCGCAAUGCUUCGGCAGUGCAACUC